GGAGCGCAGCUACCUGCAGUCGAGCGGGGGAAGUAGCUUGCUACUGGACCUAGCGGCGGACGGGUGAGUAAUGCUUAGGAAUCUGCCUAUUAGUGGGGGACAACAUUCCGAAAGGAAUGCUAAUACCGCAUACGUCCUACGGGAGAAAGCAGGGGACCUUCGGGCCUUGCGCUAAUAGAUGAGCCUAAGUCGGAUUAGCUAGUUGGUGGGGUAAAGGCCUACCAAGGCGACGAUCUGUAGCGGGUCUGAGAGGAUGAUCCGCCACACUGGGACUGAGACACGGCCCAGACUCCUACGGGAGGCAGCAGUGGGGAAUAUUGGACAAUGGGGGGAACCCUGAUCCAGCCAUGCCGCGUGUGUGAAGAAGGCCUUAUGGUUGUAAAGCACUUUAAGCGAGGAGGAGGCUACUAGUAUUAAUACUACUGGAUAGUGGACGUUACUCGCAGAAUAAGCACCGGCUAACUCUGUGCCAGCAGCCGCGGUAAUACAGAGGGUGCGAGCGUUAAUCGGAUUUACUGGGCGUAAAGCGUGCGUAGGCGGCCAUUUAAGUCAAAUGUGAAAUCCCCGAGCUUAACUUGGGAAUUGCAUUCGAUACUGGAUGGCUAGAGUAUGGGAGAGGAUGGUAGAAUUCCAGGUGUAGCGGUGAAAUGCGUAGAGAUCUGGAGGAAUACCGAUGGCGAAGGCAGCCAUCUGGCCUAAUACUGACGCUGAGGUACGAAAGCAUGGGGAGCAAACAGGAUUAGAUACCCUGGUAGUCCAUGCCGUAAACGAUGUCUACUAGCCGUUGGGGCCUUUGAGGCUUUAGUGGCGCAGCUAACGCGAUAAGUAGACCGCCUGGGGAGUACGGUCGCAAGACUAAAACUCAAAUGAAUUGACGGGGGCCCGCACAAGCGGUGGAGCAUGUGGUUUAAUCGAUGCAACGCGAAGAACCUUACCUGGCUUGACAA
Molecule: ribosomal RNA, 947 nt
Filed under: Acinetobacter venetianus
Lineage: Bacteria; Pseudomonadati; Pseudomonadota; Gammaproteobacteria; Moraxellales; Moraxellaceae
Description: bacterial SSU rRNA
Rfam family: Bacterial small subunit ribosomal RNA
Source: RNAcentral